Molecule: long non-coding RNA, 2582 nt
Organism: Pan troglodytes (chimpanzee)
Lineage: Eukaryota; Metazoa; Chordata; Mammalia; Primates; Hominidae
Exons: 3
Source: RefSeq, a predicted model, not a curated record
UCCCGAGUACCUGGGACUACAGGCGCCAGCCACCAUGCCUGGCUAAUUUUUCAAGGUCUUUUUACUCUCAUUGUCAUUAGAUUUUAUUCUGCAAUCUUCUAGCUUCCAUUGUUGUAGAUGAAAAGCCUGAGGAAGGUCUGAUACUCCUUUAUAAGUCAUUUGUUCUUUUUGCCUGGAAACUUACAAAAAUUUCUCUUUAUCCUGGAAGUUGAGGGCUUUUUACAGGAUAUUUCUAGAUGUGUGCCUUUUUUUCUCAAUCCAGACUGGAAUUCAAUGAGCCCUUUUAAAUAACAAGUCUUUUUUAAUCACAGAAGCAUUUUCUCUUUCUCUUUCUCUCUCUCUCUUUCUUUGUUUUGACAGAGUCUCACUCUGUUGCCCAAGCUGGAGUGCAGUGGCAUGAUCACAGCUCACUGCAGCCUUGACCUCCGACUCAAGUGUUCCUCCCACCUCAACUUCAUCAUUUAUUUAAUCCCUGUACUUCCUCCAACAAUUCCUUUUCUCCUUCUUGAAUUUCUGUUUCUUAAAUUAGGUCUUCUGGAUCAAUCCUCUAAGCCUUUUAUCAUGGCAAAAUUGCAUGGGCAUUAAGAAGCAAAAACAUGUGAUUAACAACAGCACAGCAAACCACCACAGCACAUGUUUACCUAUGUAACAAACCUACACAUCCUUCACAUGUAUCCUGGAACUUAAAAUAAAAUUAAGUUAAAUUUAAAACAACAACAACAACAACAAACCAGCACUUCACAGCACAGUCACAGAAGCGCAACUACCUGGGUCUGAACACCAGCUGUGCAACCCUGGGAUUGUUCCUUACCCCUCUGAUCCUCAGUUUCCUCAGCUGUGACAUGGGUUGUGAAAUGAUCCCUCUGAGUUCCUUCCCUAGACUCACUGGAGAAAACAGCAUAUCCAGGGGCACAAAGUGAUAUUAUACAGAAGGCACAGACAACAAAUUAACAGAACUCUGCUGCUCUAGGACAUAGCUCCUUCAAUCCUGGCCUUUGGAUCAGGUGACCGGAGGGCCACUCUCUAAAUAUCUCCUCCCAGUACCACCAUUUCUGCACUGGCUAGUAAGGACCAAAUGUGGCCCCUGUUCCUUUCCUCCCAUUCUGCUUUUGGGUAGUGGCUGCUUCCUGCUGAGACAGCAUGUUUUUGGGCACUCCCUCUGGGAACAUGGCAUAAGAGGGAGUCAGAAGCCUUCCUCUCAUCUCUGCCUCCAAGUCUAUCACCUUAGACAAGUCGCUGAGCCUCUCCAAGCCUCAGUUUUUUCAUCUAAAAAAUAAAGAAGGACCCUCUCCUAGAGACUCUAGAGGGAGCAUGGCCCUGCCACCACCUUGAUUUCUGACUUCUAACCUCCAGAAUUGUAAAAGAAUAGAUUUCUGUCAUUUUAAGCCACAGUUUGUGGUACUAACACAGACACCUUCUCCUCUGCCAAAAAUAAUAAUUCAUGUGAUGGGAUAAAAAUGACUGGCGAGUUCCCAACCUUUCCCACCCCCAUGGCCCCUAAUGAGGGUCCUGGUUACACUCUCCUCAGUUCCUCCUGGAGCCCACCCUCCAAGGAAGGAGCCCCACCCUGCCAGCCAUUUGUGAGAUAAAAAUCAGAGGAAACGGAAACUGAGAGCCAGACCGGGAGCCCCUGCAGCAAGUGAGAACCAUGUGUGGGAGAAGACGGCGGGGGACGUGCAAGAAGAACUGUGCCUCUCACAUGGCCACCGUGAGAAUCGAGUGCAGUCUAACGAAGGACUACGUUCACUUAUCGGUGUGAGAAACACACGUGAAAGACUUGAGUUAUUUUGAAAUCACGUUUUGUUUCAUGGUCUUUUGACCGCAUCGCAGCUCCAGCACAUUGCUGAGCCAUGUGGACCGAGGCUCUGUGAGCUUUCCUCUCCUCCCCAUCACUGAAUGCUUUCUGCCCUCCAGGCCCCUGCUAAGUGCUUGGCAGACUGCUCUCCUGUCCUCACAGCAACUCUAGAAGGACAGUGCUGUUUUAGAUGACAAAACUGAAGCCUCACAGCAAACCUCAGUGAAAUAGCCAAGGUCUAAAAGCUCAGAUUACCUCACGCCUAGCUCAGAGCUAUUAGAAUAAUAAUAGAAGCAGCAAGGAGCCUUGAGGCGACACCUAGAAGCUGGCAACCAACCCUACUACUGGUCUAUGCUCUUGGGACAGCCUUGCCUCCUGGGAUAAUGGCAGCUCUGUUACCCUCCGGGAGAUAGAGAAUGGUGUGUUUCUGGCAUUGAGGCCUAGCCAGGCCAGGGUGGGCAGAGGUGGCUGCUAUACAAUGGGCUCUGGAGCCAGACUGACAGGGUUCCCCCCAGCUCUGCCACUCUCUAGCUAUAUGGGCAUGUUAUCUGACCUCCCUGGGCCUCUGUUUCCUCAUCUGCAAAAUGGGGAUAAUAAUAGUUGCCACCUCAGAGGGUAGUUGUGAGGAUUAAGUGAAUUAAUACAGUAUGUGACAUGCUUAGAACAGCACUGGACACAGUAAGCCCUUAAUAAAAGCUAGCUCUUGUGAUUAUUGAAAAACAUGAUGCUCUACUCAGAUCUGACAAGACCUUAGCUACAAAAAAUAUAAAUCAUCAAGCAGACUGUC